GUAGCUUGCUACUUUGCUGACGAGCGGCGGACGGGUGAGUAAUGCUUGGGAACAUGCCUUGAGGUGGGGGACAACAGUUGGAAACGACUGCUAAUACCGCAUAAUGUCUACGGACCAAAGGGGGCUUCGGCUCUCGCCUUUAGAUUGGCCCAAGUGGGAUUAGCUAGUUGGUGAGGUAAUGGCUCACCAAGGCGACGAUCCCUAGCUGGUUUGAGAGGAUGAUCAGCCACACUGGGACUGAGACACGGCCCAGACUCCUACGGGAGGCAGCAGUGGGGAAUAUUGCACAAUGGGCGCAAGCCUGAUGCAGCCAUGCCGCGUGUGUGAAGAAGGCCUUCGGGUUGUAAAGCACUUUCAGUCAGGAGGAAAGGUUAACGGUUAAUACCCGUUAGCUGUGACGUUACUGACAGAAGAAGCACCGGCUAACUCCGUGCCAGCAGCCGCGGUAAUACGGAGGGUGCGAGCGUUAAUCGGGAAUUACUGGGCGUAAAGCGUACGCAGGCGGUUUGUUAAG
RNAcentral lists this ribosomal RNA (514 nucleotides) under Alteromonadales bacterium HD-OI-03-1. Its description in RNAcentral is "bacterial SSU rRNA". It matches the Rfam family "Bacterial small subunit ribosomal RNA", at positions 75 to 587 of the family's 1533-position model. Lineage: Bacteria; Pseudomonadati; Pseudomonadota; Gammaproteobacteria; Alteromonadales. The record is from RNAcentral.